CAGCGUGGAACGGGGGCGACGAGGGUCGCAGGGUCGCCGGCUCCCCCUUCCCCCGCCGGGGACCCCCACGGCACAGGGGGCCGCACAGAAGCCCCCAGCGUCCAGGGCCGGGGGAGGGUCCGCCUGCACCCCCGGGCCCGCGUGGUCCGGCCCUGCAGGGCGGGAGGCGCGGCGCGGGGCGGGGCCGGUGACGGGACGCGGAGACCCCGCGGGCGGCGGGAGGGGCGCGAGGCGCGCGUUUGCACCCGAGCCCGGCCCGCGCCCCGCUGCGGAGCGAUGCCGCUCGGCCUGGCAGCCCCCCGCGAGCACCGCGCUGGAGACGAAGCCCGCGCGUGACCCCGCUCCGGGUGACCUCAAAGCAGCAGCUCUGAAUUCGCCUCUCAUCUGACGACUGACCGCUGCUGCCGCCGCCAGCCUCUGUCCCCUUCCCAGGCCUGUCACACAGCUGCCUCUCAGCAGGGGCAGUAGAAUAAAAGAGGGCAUGUCUAAUAACAGCACCACUAGCAUCUCCCAAGCCAGGAAAGCUGUGGAACAGCUAAAGAUGGAAGCCUGUAUGGACAGGGUCAAGGUCUCCCAGGCAGCUGCGGACCUCCUGGCCUACUGUGAAGCUCACGUGCGGGAAGACCCUCUCAUCAUUCCAGUGCCUGCGUCAGAAAACCCCUUUCGCGAGAAGAAGUUCUUUUGUACCAUUCUCUAACUUCAUGUGUGAUGAAAACGCCUCCUUUUCUGACCUUCAAAGUCCCCUGUAGAGACCAUGCAUGCUCUAAGCCUUAGGGAGUGAGCCAACACCCAUCCCUGCCCAGCCAAUGGUGGCCAGGGCUUGUCUUAUGUUUUCAUCUGUUUUCUUCGUGGCAUUCAAUUUCAUGUUUUUCCUUUUCAUUUUCAUGUUAUUUUCAUUAUUGGCAAAGAAAAUCAAAAUUGUUAUAGCCAAAUAACAAAUGUGCCAUGUAAAAAUAAGUCUGGAGUUAAGAGUUUAAAAUUUUUAAACAUCAAUUUCCAAGUGUAUAUCAUAUUAAUACAUUUCAGGGGAUAACUUAUUUAAAAAAAAAAACAUGCCUAAAUAUCUCUUAUUUGCAAUAUUCAGUAUCAAAUGAGAGCAUUUUGGCCAACUGAAACAUAUAACGUUCUCAUCUCCUUUCCUGGAGAAAGCAGUUGCAGAGGUUCUCUAGUUCCUGCAUUUCCGUCAUCCUAGUGAAAAGACAAC
Long non-coding RNA from Cercocebus atys (sooty mangabey), 1204 nucleotides. RefSeq lists it as uncharacterized. The record is from RefSeq and is a predicted model, not a curated record. NCBI's taxonomy places the organism in Eukaryota, Metazoa, Chordata, Mammalia, Primates, Cercopithecidae. The transcript is spliced from 4 exons.